Molecule: ribosomal RNA, 497 nt
Filed under: uncultured bacterium
Lineage: Bacteria
Description: partial 16S ribosomal RNA
Rfam family: Bacterial small subunit ribosomal RNA
Source: RNAcentral
GAUGAACGCUGGCGGCGUGCCUAAUACAUGCAAGUCGAGCGAACAGACGAGGAGCUUGCUCCUCUGACGUUAGCGGCGGACGGGUGAGUAACACGUGGAUAACCUACCUAUAAGACUGGGAUAACUUCGGGAAACCGGAGCUAAUACCGGAUAAUAUAUUGAACCGCAUGGUUCAAUAGUGAAAGACGGUUUUGCUGUCACUUAUAGAUGGAUCCGCGUCGCAUUAGCUAGUUGGUAAGGUAACGGCUUACCAAGGCAACGAUGCGUAGCCGACCGGAGAGGGUGAUCGGCCACACUGGAACUGAGACACGGUCCAGACUCCUACGGGAGGCAGCAGUAGGGAAUCUUCCGCAAAGGGCGAAAGCCUGACGGAGCAACGCCGCGUGAGUGAUGAAGGUCUUCGGAUCGUAAAACUCUGUUAUUAGGGAAGAACAAAUGUGUAAGUAACUAUGCACGUUUUGACGGUACCUAAUCAGAAAGCCACGGCUAACUCCGUG